AGAGUUUGAUCCUGGCUCAGGACGAACGCUGGCGGCGUGCUUAAAACAUGCAAGUCGAACGCGACGACCCUUCGGGGUCCGGGAGUGGCGAACGGCGGAGUAAUACGUAAGCAACGUGCCCUGAAGACUGGGAUAUACCGGGGAAACCCGGCGCAAUACCGGAUGUGGCCACCUCUCGGCAUCGGGAGGUGAUUAAACGGUUUUUCGCUUCAGGAGCGGCUUACGCCAUAUCAGCUUGUUGGUGGGGUAACGGCCUACCAAGGCUUCGACGUGUAACUGGUCUGAGAGGAUGGCCAGUCCGAGUGGGACUGAGACACGGCCCACACACCUACGGGUGGCAGCAGUUAGGAAUAUUGCACAAUGGGGGAAACCCUGAUGCAGCGACGCCGCGUGGAGGAUGACGGAUUUAGGUCUGUAAACUCCUUUUAUCGGGAAAGACUUAGGACGGUACCCGAUGAAUAAGCUCCGGCUAACUACGUGCCAGCAGCCGCGGUAAUACGUAGGGAGCAAGCGUUGUCCGGAUUCACUGGGCGUAAAGGGCGCGUAGGCGGCUCGUUAAGUAUGAAGUGAAAUCUCCAGGGCUCAACCCGGAAACUGCUUUGUAAACUGGCAAGCUAGAGGAAGGCAGAGGUGAAUGGAAUUCCUGGUGUAGCGGUGGCAUGCAUUGAUAUCAGGAGGAACACCAGAGGCGAAGGCGGU
Molecule: ribosomal RNA, 699 nt
Filed under: uncultured bacterium
Lineage: Bacteria
Description: bacterial SSU rRNA
Rfam family: Bacterial small subunit ribosomal RNA
Source: RNAcentral